This 730-nucleotide ribosomal RNA is filed under the name Bacillus sp. (in: firmicutes). Its description in RNAcentral is "bacterial SSU rRNA". It matches the Rfam family "Bacterial small subunit ribosomal RNA", at positions 61 to 756 of the family's 1533-position model. The record is from RNAcentral. Lineage: Bacteria; Bacillati; Bacillota; Bacilli; Caryophanales; Bacillaceae.
GUCGAGCGAAUGGAUUAAGAGCUUGCUCUUAAUGAAGUUAGCGGCGGACGGGUGAGUAACACGUGGGUAACCUGCCCAUAAGACUGGGAUAACUCCGGGAAACCGGGGCUAAUACCGGAUAACAUUUUGAACCGCAUGGUUCGGAAAUUGAAAGGCGGCUUCGGCUGUCACUUAUGGAUGGACCCGCGUCGCAUUAGCUAGUUGGUGAGGUAACGGCUCACCAAGGCAACGAUGCGUAGCGGACCUGAGAGGGUGAUCGGCCACACUGGGACUGAGACACGGCCCAGACUCCUACGGGAGGCAGCAGUAGGGAAUCUUCCGCAAUGGACGAAAAUCUGACGGGAGCAACGCCCGCGUGAGUGAUGAAAGGCUUUUCGGGGCCGUAAAAACUCUGUUGUUAGGGAAAGAACAAGGGCUAGUUGAAUAAGCUGGCACCUUUGACGGGUACCCUAACCAGAAAGCCACGGCUAACUACGUGCCAGCAGCCGCGGUAAUACGUAGGUGGGCAAGCGUUAUCCGGAAUUAUUGGGCGUAAAGCGCCGCGCAGGUGGUUUCUUAAGUCUGAUGUGAAAGCCCCACGGUUCAACCGUGGAGGGUCAUUGGAAACUGGGAGACUUGAGUGCAGAAGAGGAAAGUGGAAUUCCAUGUGUAGCGGUGAAAUGCGUAGAGAUAUGGAGGAACACCAGUGGCGAAGGCGACUUUCUGGUCUGUAACUGACACUGAGGCGCGA